UUGAUUCUCACAGGAGGCCCUUUGCCAACAUGUGAAGCAAAAAGUAACUAAGGAACGACUUUAGUUCCUCCUCUUCUUUGCCCUUAGCAUCCUUGCCUUUAUUAUCUUUGCCCUUAAAAUCCUUGCCCUUAGCAUCACCUCUACUAUUACCAUCACAUAUUAGCCUCACCUGUUAGGCUCAUUCUUCACAUACCUUAUUGGUC
RNAcentral lists this long non-coding RNA (203 nucleotides) under Prunus persica (peach). RNAcentral describes it as "long non-coding RNA (PPER_LNC005995)". Lineage: Eukaryota; Viridiplantae; Streptophyta; Magnoliopsida; Rosales; Rosaceae. The record is from RNAcentral.